GACGAACGCUUGCGGCGUGCCUAAGAAAUGCAAGUCGAGCGAGGUUCAGGCUUCGGCCGAAAACCUAGCGGCGAACGGUCGCGUAACACGUAAGCAACCUGCCCUAAAGUGGGGGAUAGCCCUCCGAAAGGAGGAUUAAUACCGCAUGUGGAUGCUUUCUCGCAUGUGAGAGCAUCUGAAGCAGCAAUGCGCUUUAGGAUGGGCUUGCGGCCUAUCAGCUAGUUGGUGGGGUAACGGCCUACCAAGGCGACGACGGGUAGCUGGUCUGAGAGGAUGGUCAGCCGGACUGGGACUGAGAUACGGCCCAGACUCCUACGGGAGGCUG
This 325-nucleotide ribosomal RNA is filed under the name uncultured Armatimonadota bacterium. RNAcentral describes it as "bacterial SSU rRNA". It matches the Rfam family "Bacterial small subunit ribosomal RNA", at positions 28 to 351 of the family's 1533-position model. Lineage: Bacteria; Bacillati; Armatimonadota. The record is from RNAcentral.